This is a long non-coding RNA of Mauremys reevesii (Reeves's turtle), 1104 nucleotides long. RefSeq lists it as uncharacterized. The transcript has 3 exons. NCBI's taxonomy places the organism in Eukaryota, Metazoa, Chordata, Testudines, Geoemydidae. The record is from RefSeq and is a predicted model, not a curated record.
GUCAUUUCUUCUGGUUGGAAAUAGGAGGGAUGAGUUCUUCAAUAAUGAUUUGAUAAGCUCCUGAGCAGAAGAAAGAAGUUGUGGCUGGGUUGGAAUUGAUCUCCCAGUAGCACAGAGCUUCUCUGGGAACCGAUACUGAUUGUAUGGGAUUCACGUCAUCGGUACCAUCUGAUUGGAUCAGGUCAGGAAUUGGGGCUUUAAUUUCCUGCACAGUUUAAAGACCAUUCCCUGGCAGAAGGAGUCAAGGGAGAGCAGUGGAAAUGAAAACCGGCCUGGGAGUUUCAGUGAAGACCAUUGAAACCGACUCAUGUUUCUGGCAUGCAGAAAAUGAUACCCUGAGCAGCACAGCAGGUCCCUUCUCUGCCUAGACAUGCUGGAGGGCAGGCUGAACGGCAAUCGUGCCUUUAUCUUCAUUCCCUCACCUAUCAGGGUGGACAAAAGAAGCCGUAUGGAUGCAGAAGAGGCAGGAGGACAGAGAAAGCCCUGCUUUCCAGAAGCCAAAAGGAGCAGGACUGGCUGGUACCAAGGCCUGGUGCCAGGAGCUCUCUUGCCUUUGACUGAGAUGAAAUGCAUUCUGCAUCUGUGGCAGAAAGUUGCCUUUUGCAGAGGUCCCUGCCAUCGGAUUCCGUUCCUGUCGCCAUAAUGCCUUGAGGCCCCAAUCUCCAUUUCUGACAAAUAACCUUCUGAAGGUUCAGUUUCCAAAGAAAAGCCAUUUGGAGAUGAUAGGCAGCUAGAGAGGGUUUUUCCAACUCUGAGGUAGCGUUUGUCCCCUAAGGCUCAGCAAAAGGAUCCAGCCACCUCUGACACACUGGGGAGAAAAUUGCCCAUUCUGGGAGAGUGUUUUCAGUGCAUGAACAGCACUGCAUGUGUGUGUUGAUUACUUUUUCUUGCUUGAUUAUUUCCCCUUAGGACUGAGCGAAAGCCAAAUGGUCAAUUCGGUAUUCACGGCUCUGAGGGCAGCUGUGCUUUUGCUGAAUCCAGACUGAAACUGCUACAGGAAGGAAAAUAUCUGUAGAUUUCCGUUAUUCUUAGAGAUUGGAGCCUUUCUUAGGAAAAUCAGGCUUUCAGUUUGAGAAAUGCUGGCCUAAAGCAAUAACACUAAUA